CAAAUUAGAGCUUGAAUAAGUUUUUCAUUUACAUUGAAAAGAUAUUAAAUAUAUUAAUUAAUUUGGUUUAAUAAAAUUAA
Molecule: transfer RNA, 80 nt
Filed under: Epermenia illigerella
Lineage: Eukaryota; Metazoa; Arthropoda; Insecta; Lepidoptera; Epermeniidae
Description: tRNA-Val
Source: RNAcentral